Molecule: ribosomal RNA, 2304 nt
Filed under: Triticum aestivum (bread wheat)
Lineage: Eukaryota; Viridiplantae; Streptophyta; Magnoliopsida; Poales; Poaceae
Description: partial small subunit ribosomal RNA
Source: RNAcentral
AUGGCCAGGAAGGUCGCGCAGCGCAGGCCGGCGGCGCCUCCCGCGCCGCCCGCGGCGAAGAAGGUGGUCAAGGUCCCCUCGAGGACGGCCAAGAGGGCGGCUCCGAAGAAGCAGAAGCUUCCCGAGCCCUCCUCCGACGACGACUCCGAGGCGGAGCAGCAGCCGCUCCACGAGGAGGAGGAGGAGGAGGAUUCAGACGUCGAGGCCCCCUCCGGCUCCGACGCCGAGGAGCUCUCUGGCUCGGACGCCGGUAGCAGCGAGGAGGAGGAGGACGACGACGACGACGAAGAAGAAGAGGACGACGACCCCCUCGCCGGAGACUUCCUUGCCGGCAGUGAUGACGACAGUGACGAGGGGGGCGACUCUGGAGAGGAAUCAGAUGGGUCUGAUGACCUCGAGGCAAAGUCAGCAGCUCUUGAUCGACAGAAGGAGCAGGCUGAAGAAGAUGCAGCUGCGGACCUUGCACUCAACAUAAGAUCAGAAUCUGAUGAAUUCCGGUUGCCCACCAAGGAGGAGUUGGAAGAAGAGGCACUUGGACCACCUAACCUGCCAAAUCUUAAAAGGAGGAUCUCAGAAAUUGUACGGGUACUCUCAAACUUUAGCAAGCUGAGGCAAGAAAAUGUUGCCAGAAAAGAUUAUGUCGAUCAGUUCAAGACGGACGUGAUGGCGUACUAUGGAUACAAUGAAUUUCUCAUUGAAGCAUUUGUUGAGAUGUUCCCAGCUGUUGAGGUUGUUGAGCUACUUGAAUCAUUUGAAAAAAGACCCCCUGAGUGCUUGCGUACAAAUACACUAAAGACCCGUAGGAGGGAUCUUGCUGCUGCUCUUAUUCCUAGAGGGUUUAAUCUGGAUCCGAUUGGAAAAUGGUCAAAGGUAGGAUUAGUUGUGUACGACUCCACUGUUUCGUCUGGCGCCACUGUUGAAUAUAUGGCAGGACAUUACAUGAAACAAGGCGCGAGUUCCUUUUUGCCAGUGAUGGCUCUUGCUCCACAGGAGAAGGAGCGAAUAGUUGAUAUGGCAGCUGCCCCAGGUGGCAAGACCACAUACAUUGGAGCUCUGAUGAAAAAUACUGGAAUAAUCUAUGCAAAUGAGCUUAACGAGAAAAGGUUGCAUGGACUGUUGGGCAACAUACAUCGCCUGGGUGUGACAAAUACCAUAGUUUGUAAUUAUGACGGUAAAGAGCUCCCCAAAGUACUUGGAAUGAACUCAGUUGACAGAGUACUGUUGGAUGCGCCCUGCACAGGCACCGGAACCGUUUGGAAGGAUGCACAAAUAAAAACAUCUAAGGACAUCGAUGACAUCAGGAAUUGUGCUUUCGUACAAAAGCAAUUGCUUCUGGCUGCUAUUGAUUUGGUUGACGCCAACUCCAAAACUGGUGGUUACAUUGUUUACUCUACUUGUUCGAUGAUGAUUCCAGAAAAUGAAGCAGUCAUCGACUAUGCCCUUAAAAAGAGAGAUGUAAAGGUUGUUCCUUGUGGAUUAGAUUUUGGACGCCCAGGAUUCAUCCGGUUCCGGGAGCAUCGCUUCCAUACGUCUUUAGACAAAACAAGGAGGUUUUAUCCUCAUGUCAACAACAUGGAUGGCUUCUUCGUAGCCAAGCUGAAGAAGAUGAGCAACACAAUUCCAGCCUCGUCCGAGUCAUCUAAAGAGCCCGAAGAAGCAGCGGAGGGCGUUGUUGAUCCAAACCAUGAUGAGGAAGAUGAGAAAGAUGUUCCCGAUGGGCAAUCCACUAAGUCGAAGAAUCAUAAACAGGGAAAGAAGAAAAAUGAACAAGCAAGCAUCCCUGAAGGGGAGGGGGACCAGAGCCAGGCACCUGAAAGACCAGCAAAGCACCUCAAGAGCAACAAAGGCGUGAAGAAAAGUAGUGGCCCUAAAAGUGCUGAAAUGAACGGAGAUAAGAAAGAAACACACGAUGAACAAACAGAGCAUGUCAAGACUCAGAAGGGUUCCAAGAAAAGUAAAGGCCCUAAAAAUGCUGGAAUGGAUGUAGAUGAGAAAGAAACACCCAGUGAGCAAACAGAGGAGGUCAAAAGCCACAAGGGUGUGAAGAGAAGUAAUGGACCUAAAAGUGCUGGAAUAAAUGGAGAGAAGAAAGAUGUGGCCGAGGAACAAACAGACCAGACCAGCCACAAAAAGAAGCAUGUGUCUGAUAAAAUUAAGAAGUCUGGUUCCAAGAGCACCUCAGGGACCAAAGAGAAGAAACCGGUGUCCAAGGAAGGAAGCAAGAAGAGGAAAAGGAAAUGGCAAUUCAAGCUGAGGCGGGACUGGGAGGCAAAACAGAAGUCUGAGAAGAGGACGAAGGUUUGA